RNAcentral lists this long non-coding RNA (1121 nucleotides) under Taeniopygia guttata (zebra finch). RNAcentral's name for it is "lncRNA (ENSTGUG00000024810.1)". Lineage: Eukaryota; Metazoa; Chordata; Aves; Passeriformes; Estrildidae. The record is from RNAcentral.
CAUCUUGUGGGCUUUUGUGCGGCUAAUUAGUCAGCACGUCCUUAUCGCUGGGAGGAUCUCCCUUGGCUCCAGUCACAGAGGAACACCUCUGCUUUGCUUGCGGCCAGGACUGCUGCACAGCCUUGCUCUCUGCUCUCUGGACUGGAACAUGGCAGUUGGCUCCAUACCACAAAAGCAGGGUGAACCAAUUAGUCCUUUGAAAAGCACUUAGAGAGCAUGAACUGAAGAGACUAUGACUGGAAGGCAUUUUUUUUUUUUUUUUGUGGGAAUACUGUGGGUAAGACUUCCAGGGAUCAGCUUCCUAAAAUGAGUGAGAAAAAGAAGGGUUGGGUUCAGUAUGCUAAUGCUUUUGUCUUCGUGCAAAGACUAGCACAUAGAAGAAAAUUGUUGCUGCAGUGUAAGCAUCAAGAAAUACAUUCAAAUAAGGGUCUAAUAUUUACUGGAACUGUAGCAAUACUUGCAAGACUACAUGGACACACAAGACUGCAGUGUGCUCCCUUGAGGGAGCUCCCUUUGUCUGUCAGUGAUUUCCCUGUAAUGCUUGUGGCUUCUCCAUGCUGGAGGGGACUCAAGGAGCCAGUGUUGUUCAUGCCCAAAGUGCUCACCUUCACCCUCAGACUGAUCCUACAAAGGGCAACAUCAUCUUGGUGGCUGUGCCCCUCUGGGUGCUCAUCAUCAGCCUUCAAAAAGUGGUACCACCAUGGUUGAGUUACUCUAAACACCUUCUGUACUGAGAACUACAAAACCAACUGAUGAGCAAGAGCAAAGCUUGCCAAAACCUAAGUCCCAGCCCCAAUAUAUGCUCCUUACUCUCAAUGUAUUUUUAGGGUGGUCAAAUACAGUGCUUUAAUGAGUUUAAGACAAAUUUGAAUAGCAGGCAUUUGUGACAUGGGUACUGAAACCAGAUCAUGGCCAUGGAGAUACCAAGUGCCUUCAAAGUGUAAAGAAAAGCAGGUGAUGCACUCAAAACCAGGGACACUCUCCAAAGCAAGUAUCUCUCACUUCUUUUGUUACUGAUCAGUGCUUCUUUCAAGAGAAAAUGAAAAAUAAUAAUUAUUGCAAUGAUUGAUAUUUUUCUUUUCAUCAAUUAAAUAAUAUUCAUCUAAGCUCCUCUUGCAAAA